This 478-nucleotide ribosomal RNA is filed under the name uncultured organism. RNAcentral's name for it is "partial 16S ribosomal RNA". It matches the Rfam family "Bacterial small subunit ribosomal RNA", at positions 332 to 801 of the family's 1533-position model. The record is from RNAcentral.
UACACUCCUGCGGGAGGCAGCAGUGGGGAAUAUUGCACAAUGGGCGCAAGCCUGAUGCAGCCAUGCCGCGUGUAUGAAGAAGGCCUUCGGGUUGUAAAGUACUUUCAGCGGGGAGGAAGGCGAUAAGGUUAAUAACCUUGUCGAUUGACGUUACCCGCAGAAGAAGCACCGGCUAACUCCGUGCCAGCAGCCGCGGUAAUACGGAGGGUGCAAGCGUUAAUCGGAAUUACUGGGCGUAAAGCGCACGCAGGCGGUCUGUCAAGUCGGAUGUGAAAUCCCCGGGCUCAACCUGGGAACUGCAUUCGAAACUGGCAGGCUAGAGUCUUGUAGAGGGGGGUAGAAUUCCAGGUGUAGCGGUGAAAUGCGUAGAGAUCUGGAGGAAUACCGGUGGCGAAGGCGGCCCCCUGGACAAAGACUGACGCUCAGGUGCGAAAGCGUGGGGAGCAAACAGGAUUAGAUACCCCUGUAGUCCCAUGAU